Saimiri boliviensis boliviensis (Bolivian squirrel monkey) is the source of this 496-nucleotide non-coding RNA. Lineage: Eukaryota; Metazoa; Chordata; Mammalia; Primates; Cebidae. The record is from RefSeq and is a predicted model, not a curated record.
CAGAAAAUCGCUGUCACGUGCACUUUGGGAUUUGGACUCAAUUAUACAGACUAUGAGCAUUUCUGAAAAUGGUCAUACAUGGGCUGUGUAACACUGUUGCUUGGUGACGGAGCCACUUGAGUGCCCAGCUGCCGUCCAUUCGGUACCCUUAUCCCACCCGGUGGAAUGCUGUCAAAAGAAACAUCACUGCAAUGCCUGAUAAACUGACAUGGGUCCCAGACCCAAUAAGAGUGAAACCAUCCCCCUAUUUAAAUGAAAUUAUGGCUGAUGAGAAGGACAAAUUAAUUGCUCUGCCCCAAUAUUACACAAAACUUUGGAUGUUGCCAUUGUUACAAUUUUAUUUUCCCCAGGAUCUCAGAGUCCCACCUUCAUUCUUUUUGUUUAGUGUCUCAGCUGGGUCUCCACCUGUAGAAGACUAGAAUGAGCACAAACUAUGUCUUCAAUGAUCUGUAAAUCCAACAGGAAACAAUGUAAUAAAUAUACUGUGUUUGCUAAC